RNAcentral lists this ribosomal RNA (107 nucleotides) under Rhizobium leguminosarum. RNAcentral describes it as "partial 16S ribosomal RNA". It matches the Rfam family "Bacterial small subunit ribosomal RNA", at positions 1 to 119 of the family's 1533-position model. The record is from RNAcentral. Lineage: Bacteria; Pseudomonadati; Pseudomonadota; Alphaproteobacteria; Hyphomicrobiales; Rhizobiaceae.
UCAACAUGAGAGUUUGAUCCUGGCUCAGAACGAACGCUGGCGGCAGGCUUAACACAUGCAAGUCGAGCGCCCCGCAAGGGGAGCGGCAGACGGGUGAGUAACGCGUG